This is a transfer RNA of Apaloderma vittatum (bar-tailed trogon), 75 nucleotides long. It matches the Rfam family "tRNA". From Rfam's summary of the family: Transfer RNA (tRNA) molecules are approximately 80 nucleotides in length. Their secondary structure includes four short double-helical elements and three loops (D, anti-codon, and T loops). The record is from Rfam. Lineage: Eukaryota; Metazoa; Chordata; Aves; Trogoniformes; Trogonidae.
GGGCCGGUCAGCUCAGUCGGUUAGAGCGUGGUGCUGAUAACACCAAGGUCGCGGGUUCAAUCCCCGUUCGGUCCC